Long non-coding RNA from Drosophila biarmipes, 3231 nucleotides. RefSeq lists it as uncharacterized. The record is from RefSeq and is a predicted model, not a curated record. The transcript is spliced from 2 exons. NCBI's taxonomy places the organism in Eukaryota, Metazoa, Arthropoda, Insecta, Diptera, Drosophilidae.
AUAUAUUCCCGAGUGCUCGUUCACGCCCUAACACCUGCAAUGACUUUGUUGACAGCUGAGCGGGUCGGGGUUCGAGGUGGGGUCAGGGUCGGGAAUCAGGCAGGAGCCGCAGAUGGUUAUUUAUGUCACUUAUGUGACGAAACCGAGGAAUUUUUAGAAAUCGGUCACAUCCUUGCGUUUUGGAGCUAAUCUCACAGAGAAAACUGUUAAGUAACUUGUAGCUCACUCAGAUUUAUAUUUAGUGAUUGAAACGAAGAGCAGGACAAGAAUUGAUAUUUAUUUUAAUCAAUUUCCUCCCCGCAGGGAUUUUCAUUUAUUCAGCACUUCCGAUCCGAAAUGUGCGGCUGAGCGCUCGUAUUGCCUACUUCUGAGCGCAAUUGGAGUACAAAGGCAAACAAUGGUUUUGAGGUCGGUUCUCAACUGCCUGGACUGAGCCCUCGAGUCGAGCCUGUUUGUUUGUGUGGCCUGCACUUCACUUAAUUGAAUCAGUGUGAUUGACACGUCUGCUCUGCAUAUAUGGAUGGGCUUCGAAUGGAACAGAGUGUGUGCUCAGUGAUGAUCUCUGGCCAGCUUUGCCUUGCCCGUGCGAGUGCAGGGUGUCCUUUUGUGCAGCAGUCACAAUGUUCAUCAAUUAUCAACUAAAAAGAGCCCAGGCAGGGGGACUAGAGCACAAACAGAAAAAGCAAUAAAUCUAAACAAAAGGCCUCCGGGGCCAAGUCGCAUGGAGUGGGGGUUACAAGGACAUGGCCAUAGAUUAUGCCCAUGUAUUCAGCAGCUGGAAAGUCUUGUUUAUGGCCACCUUUUCCCCUGUCGCUACCUUCCCCCGGCACAACAGCGGCCAAAGGCCAACGAAUUGGCCUUAGAUUUUGGUUCGUUGCCUGGUCGGGAUGGAGUGGCCAUAAACCAGCUCGAUUCUGGUAUAUUUUCGACCAAGAAGUCCCUAAAAAUAGGUUCAGGCAAAAGCGGCACGUUUGGACCAAAUACUGAGGACACAGAGUACGAGUUAGCACUUAUUUGGUAGCCAAAAAACUGUGUUUUUCUGGGAGUUGAAAAUUGGCAGUGUUGAAGCCUUGUACAAAUACAAUUUAAGUAAGACAACCUUGGCAACAAAGUUUGUGCAGUGGAAAUUUUCGCUUCUCUUGCUCGUUUUUUACUGCUCGCUCGACAUUUUCGCCUUUAUAUGCAGUCACAUGUGCGGGGCCAAAAAAUGCCGGGGAAAAGGGUUUUAAAGCCAGGAAAAAGGGGCGUCAAGUGUGAAAAAGGGCGGGAAAAUAUGUGAAAGAAAGGAUCAAAACGAGGAGGAACCCAGAAGGACGAAAGCGCAGGAGAAACGUUCUUGCCAAGAAAAACUCAUCGGUUGCAACACGCAGACAAGAGAAAGGAUACCGAGCUGCUACGCAAGGCGGAAAAGGGGGAAAGUGGGGUUGGCAACGGGCAAAAGGGGCGUUGGUGGGCGUUCAAAGGCAGUCACAUGGCAAACAUAAGUCGCACACUCAAAUCAAUAGCUUUGACAGCUCGGCAUUGUUUGAAAAACGAACCAAAAGAGUCAGACCAAGAAAGGAAGGUUGAUCGAAUAAGAGAUAUACAAGUGCAGGGGCGUGGUGCUGGGGGUUUUCCGAGGGGACUCGGGUGGGCGGGUAUGCCUCUGUAUGUGUGCCAAUUGCAUUCAUUUGACUUGACUUGGCUGCCAAUUGUCUCGAUGCAAUGGAAAAUUUCUGGCAUACGUCAUUGGAAAAUCGAAAUCAAACACAAAACUAACAAAACAAAUGGAAAGAAAAUCAAAAUUGAAAUGCGAAGAGCUUCUGCCAAUUUGUAAAUAUUUUAAAUCAUCAUUGCUUGAGAUUUUGCGUGUAUUUUGAAUUCGAAUUGUUCAUAGCUUUGACAAGUAAAAUAAAUAAUCGUCACCAAAAAAUCAAAAGAAAGCCUUGAUAUGCUAUUAUGUUUUAAACGAAAUGGUAUAGUUGAAGUAUUGCUUUCAGUUUAAUGUUUAUGGACUAAUAGUUCUUAUUAGUGGAUUGGCCUCUUUAUUAAAUUCGUAAUUGCUGAAUAUAACGAAAAAGCGAAUCAGUAGCACGUGCUUUUCCUGUACAUUUCCUCGCAUCUGGCAAAGGAAAAAUAAAUAAAUACAUUCAAGCAGAUGAGUAAUGAAAACUUAAAGAGACAGCCGGCAAUGAACGAAUUGGCAAGAGAAGAGCGCACAAGUUGUUCAAGGAUUGCAAAUUGCAAUUACAAAGACAACAAAAAAAUCGGAUAAAGCUGCCAGACGGACCAGCAACAACAACGCCAGCACAUCAACAAUGAACUGGCAAAGUAAAAGAUAAAAACUACCUUGGCCCAGUAUUGAAAGCGCCUAUAAAACUCAUCACUGCAGUGUGUGGGUGUGUCUUGCAUGUAGAUACAAUGCCCGUGCACUGGCUACGUAGAAGAUACAGGGACCAACUGAUUCAGCUGCUGCAGCAGUAACACCAAUAACAAGCUGCAAUAAAUGUCACUGCACACCACCGAACACCCCGCAUCUGCCCCCUCCCCUCGAGUAGCAAAAGUGCAUUGAAGACGUGACCAAGUCGCCAAAAAAGCUCACAGCCAAGACAACUUUCGUUUCGUUUCAUUUCAGUCUCAGUGCAACGUGGCGUAUGGGUACUGCGAUUCUUUGUGCUGCACUGAGCAAAAAUAGCCGUUGGUCUGGCCACCAAUCUGACAUUGUCGUUCGCUUCAAGUGUGAGUGAGUGUGUUGUUAGACUAACAUCAAAGUUUGGAAGGGAACAAGUGCACUAAAUAACACAUUUUAAGGGCCAAUUCUUAAGCAGACAUAAAGAGUACAUACAACCUUUUUCGCCGUGUAGAAGCAUAAAAUUGAAGAGUGCCGAGCAUGAGCAGAAGGAAGGUUGAUCGGGUGUUCAACAGUCUUAUCAGUGACAAAGUUUGCCCAAGUCAUGCACUCGACAUAUUUGUCGACCAAAGAUUGGAGGAGGCACCAGCAGACGGCGCAGAAAUGUGCAAAACCGAGGAGGAGUAGGGGCAAACCUGGCCAACCUCAAUGCUGCCGUUGCAGCCUGAUAAGACACACACACUGUGCAAAUUGGCCAAGUCAUAAAGGCGAACUCAAUUUGCUGUUGAUCACGUUUUUUAGCCAUUUCCCGCAGCCAAACUAGUGCAACAAUGGAAAUCUUUUAUUACCAAAGAAGUGGGGCAGCCAAAUAAAAGAGUAAGGCCAAAGAAACACAAUUAAAA